This is a long non-coding RNA of Bombus pascuorum, 3242 nucleotides long. RefSeq lists it as uncharacterized. The record is from RefSeq and is a predicted model, not a curated record. Lineage: Eukaryota; Metazoa; Arthropoda; Insecta; Hymenoptera; Apidae. The transcript is spliced from 6 exons.
UUUUAUGCAAAUUCAAGAAGGUUUUUGCGACGCUCGGCUCUAUUGCCAUACAAACCGCUCGUUACACCGCGACCGCGGCGUAACUAAUUAAACUUGUAAUUAACGAGCCGGGCUUAUUCGAUCUCGAGGUGUCCGCCACGCACGCCACCACAUGUGCUUACGUCAACCUUGUGUUCGACUUUGUUCACUUAAGUUUCUUUUCGCACUUUUUAUUUUGUUCUCGCGGGAUAUGCAUGACUAAGAGGCUAGAAUUCGUUUGCGAUGCAUCGUGUGACUUCUGGUUUGAAAUUUUAGUUGCAGUGAGUGGUUGAAAUAGAGCGUUUCUUUGACUUGUUUUCGGAUGUUCGUGUUUGACGUAACAGGUUAGGAGAAAGCGCGGAAACAAUAAUACGUGUAGACGAAGGUAAAUUAUAAUCAGCAAGUAUCUGAAUGGAUCGCCGUCGGGGAAGAACGGAUUCCUCAUCUUUACGAUAUCUCUUGGUCAGGUGCAUUACCAUCAAACUGUCGCUAAUUACAUGGCUAGUGCUAUCUUUGUGCACAUAACCGUGGUUGCCUAUGUGCUUCAUUCGUGCAAUUUUAAUGGCGUCGAUUUGCCGCCACCACACACGACGCACUCGGAAACAAUUCAAAUUCUGGACAGGCGCACGGGGAUGAAGUAAUAAUCAUUUAUUGCGAUCCGUGGAAUCAAACAGGAAGCAUGCGUAUCCCUUUGACUCAACUUCACCGAGCAAAACUCACUGGCUGCAACGAUGUGUUUACGAAUGAAACUCAAGAUGCGGCCGAGCCGAUAGCUACUGGCGAUUCGCUCGUUUAACAGCGUAACGGCGAGCCGGCAGGAGUCAGGGCCGGUGACUGGCAUCGCGCGAAGAGAGACGGAUAGAGAGCACCGGGACACGAGGGAGCAGAGAGGCACAGGUAAAAACGUGACUGGGUCCCUACGAGGGUGCUAGAAGAUUGUUGGCUGGUUGCAUGAGUGAAAUUAAAAGAAUAGGAGUUUGCAAUAUGGACGUCGCAAGUGAUCUAUGAUCGAUAAAUGGAAUUUGUGGAGGCCAGUAGAGACGCCAUUGAUGAUUUACAGUCAACUCGUUAACAUCUCACGCAGGAUUUGGUAAUGUUUACAUUUUGAUGAUAUGUAUAACACAGAUAGACGUUUAGUAGUUCUAGUUUUUAACUGUUCUAUCUGCACUACAUAGUUUUGUAAAUUGAGAAAACUGUAUUUAAAAUUCAUGAAGUUCAAUAUCUACUCGAUAUUCAAUAGCAGAAAAAGACUGAAUAUUUUUACUUUCUUAGUAGAAUUUUCAUAAUAUUAUCAUGAAUUCGUAUUCCGUAUACCAAUGAGGCAUGGUUGAAUUGGUUAAUUAUAUUUUUAUGAAAAUGAAGUUAGAACAGUUAAGAAGUAAGACGACAGUAUGCAUACGUUUAUAUCCACUUUUUAUUGAUUCAUUGUUAAAUUAUAAUAUUAAUAGGUAGAUAAGUUGCUACUUAAUAGGAAACACUGUUAACAUUAUUACAAGAUUCUACUUUCUAUUGAUAUUAAUUUGUUUCUAUACAAAUAGAUUGGUAAUUAAUGUAUGCAUAAUUAAAAGUGGUAUUUAAGUAAAUAAAGAAAUGUAAAGUAGAUAAGUAGAAAAUAGAUACGUAAUUAAAUAGAUAAAAUAAUAUAAUACUUUAUGAGAGACACUUCACUUUCUUAAUUUAUUUUAAAUAUCAAUUAUUCUAAAUUUUCAUUUUAAUGAGGAAAUAAUAUUUACAAUCUUUAUGUUAGAAAUAAAUGAAAUGAAGUAUCAUAUAGAAUUAUACAAGUAGUUAAAAAUUUAAUUUGAACUUUAAAUUUGAAAAUUUAUUUAAUUAAUGAAUAAAUGAAUAAAUUAAUCGUUUUACAUGAUGAUUAAUUUAAUCAUUUUGCGAACAUACAUCAAAAGGAGAAUUUGUUCAUAAAUUGAUGUUUGAAAUUGAAUAUUAAUUUUUGCUCAUAAGUGGACAAUCAUCAUUUGAUAUACAAUUAUUAAUUGCUUCAAUGUGAUAAAAUUUGAUGUAUAUUUAUUGUUAAUUAUAUCACCGUGUCAUGGUUAUAAAUUAUACAGUAUGUGUAGCAAGUAAUCUGAGCUGGUUACUUGCGAUCGUGAUUACGCAGUUACGUAGCUAAAUGAUACAAGGUUGCAAAUUAAAAUUUAUUAGAAUGUAAUUUACUUAACUGAAUAUUCAUGGUAAUUCGUAACUCAAUGAUUGAUAAUUUAAUUGUAAAAAGAAAAGGGGAUCGGAUUAACAUACAUCUAUCUGCUUUUCAAGAUCGUGUAUCCUAAUUAACUUAAAGUUAUUGUUUGUAAGAAAAUACAUAUGAUAUAUCAUAGGAUUAUCCUGCAAUUGCUUACUUGAACUUUAGCAGGUUGUAAAACGCAAAGCUUCGUAAACUAAAGUUUCAAAGCUUUCAAUUUUUAAAUGUUAAAACAUAGGAAGAUACAUUUUGAAGUUUCUCGAAGCUGCGAGAGCUCAAUCUUCAAGAAUGAAACUUCAAGGCUUCGAAAUCUGCAUUUUAACACUAUCCUUACCAAACCCGAAGAAAUAACCGGUUUCAAAAUUUAAUUUAGAAUGUACAUUCAUUGUUACUUCUUUUGUUCAUACAACUUUGUGUUAAUUCUUAUAUUAUCCGAUUAAUCAGUUUCUUAAUUUUUGUUAAUAUAAGAAUUUACAUAAAGUUAGACAAACGAAAGAAAUAACAAUGAAUGUAUGAUUUAAAAUCAAAUUUUGAAGCCGAGCCUGGUAACGUUUUAGUGUUAAACCUGCGAAAACUAAAUGCGGAAGGAAAUUGCAAAAGGAUGCUAUAAGGCAGCACCAUCGGGGUCUACAUGUGAUUUUGGACGAUUUUGGACGAAAGAAAAGUGAAAUAAGUUGGAACGUUGUAAAAUAUUGAAACUCUCGAAUACCUGUAAUUGUUUAGAACAAUUUAUUAUAGUAAAGAGAAAGCGGCGGAAAGUGAUGCUAUAAGGCAGCACCAUCGGGGUCUACAUGUGAUUUUGGACGAUUUUGGACGAAAGAAAAGCAAAGUGAAAUAAGGUGGAACGUUGCAAACUAUUGAAACUCUCGAAUACCUAUAAUUAUUUAGAACAGUUUAUUAUAGUAAAGAGAAAACGGCGGGAGGUAUCAGUUUCUGGAAAUAUAUUUAAAUUAAUUCUAUCUUUGGUAAUCGUUGUACGUAACACACGAUGUAACAAAUUAUCUAAUAAACCAGUUUUCAGUUUCCA